UCAUUAUAACAGCUAUAAUGUACUUGAUGUUGAUUAUCCAACGUGGAUAACUGUGGCAAUUCUAGAGCUAAUACAUGCACCAAAGCUCCGACUUAUGGACGAGCGCAUCUAUUAGAUUAAAACCAAUCGGGUUAUUGAUUUAGCCCGUAAAUUGGUGACUCUGAAUAGCUAUGGCUGAUCGCAUGGUCUUGUACCGGCGACAUAUCUAUCAAGUGUCUGCCUUAUCAACUUUCGAUGGUAGUUUAUGUGCCUACCAUGGUUGU
RNAcentral lists this ribosomal RNA (263 nucleotides) under Acanthocheilonema spirocauda. RNAcentral's name for it is "partial small subunit ribosomal RNA". It matches the Rfam family "Eukaryotic small subunit ribosomal RNA", at positions 98 to 353 of the family's 1831-position model. Lineage: Eukaryota; Metazoa; Nematoda; Chromadorea; Rhabditida; Onchocercidae. The record is from RNAcentral.